This 502-nucleotide ribosomal RNA is filed under the name uncultured bacterium. RNAcentral describes it as "partial 16S ribosomal RNA". It matches the Rfam family "Bacterial small subunit ribosomal RNA", at positions 28 to 523 of the family's 1533-position model. The record is from RNAcentral.
GAUGAACGCUAGCGGGAGGCUUAACACAUGCAAGUCGAGGGGCAGCACGAUGUAGCAAUACGUUGGUGGCGACCGGCGCACGGGUGAGUAACACGUAUGUAACCUACCCUUAACAGGGGGAUAACCCGGAGAAAUUCGGACUAAUACCCCAUAAUGAUAUAAUGAGGCCUCUCGUUAUAUUUAAAUCUAAGGCGGUAAAGGAUGGGCAUGCGGAACAUUAGCUGGUUGGUAAGGUAACGGCUUACCAAGGCUACGAUGUUUAGGGGUCCUGAGAGGGUGAUCCCCCACACUGGUACUGAGACACGGACCAGACUCCUACGGGAGGCAGCAGUGAGGAAUAUUGGUCAAUGGGCGCAAGCCUGAACCAGCCAUCCCGCGUGAAGGAAGACGGCCCUAUGGGUUGUAAACUUCUUUUCCAGGGGGUGGAUUAUCCCGACGUGUCGGGGUUUGACGGUACCCUGGGAAUAAGCAUUGGCUAACUCCGUGCCAGCAGCCGCGGUAA